This is a non-coding RNA of Drosophila virilis, 529 nucleotides long. The record is from RefSeq and is a predicted model, not a curated record. Lineage: Eukaryota; Metazoa; Arthropoda; Insecta; Diptera; Drosophilidae.
UAUACACUUUUAUCAUGGAUAAUAGCCCUAUUAGCUAGACGGCAAUACAGUUACAUAUAUUAUCUACGGAUUGCGCCGUUUCGUAACACUCCCUCCCAAUACCGCCCAAUGAAGUCAGUCGCUCCAAAUAAGCGUUGCGUUGUCGGUUAUUGACACUCAUCGUUCUUAUCGGGCCUCGGAUUAAUGUGCAUAUACUAUAUAGAUACAUAGACACCAUAUAGGGUCCAUAGUGUGUAUGUAGAGAGUCCAGAGUCAAGUCCCAUCUGGCUUCAGUUGCAACUGAUUUACCAGAUGAGCCAGUAUGUUCAAGUCCAAGUUUUUUUCUGUAUCCGAAAUUAUAAAACCAGAUGAUAUACAUACAUAUGCAUGUCUGUGGACUUUGCACAGGGAAUAUACGGCAUUCAUUACGACGUUAUCGCUCUUUCGAGAAAAAAAAAAAAAAGAAUGUACUCAAUGCGCAUUUCUGUAGAUUGCCGAUUCUUGUUGUUCAGAUAAGCAAGCCAAAUAAAGUCUUUAUAGAUUUUCUUUA